AACGUAAGUUAUUUGAUAGUACCUUACUACUGGAAACCGUAGUAAUUCCAGAACUAAUACAUGCCUCAAGUCCCAACUGCCUGUGCGGAAGGGAUGUCUUUAUUAAAUCAAAACCAAUGCAGGGGCAACCCUGGUAUUGUGGUGAUUCAUAAUAACUGUGCAAAUCCCAUGGCCUCCCCCCGGCAAUAAAUCAUUCAACUUUCUGCCCUAUCAACUUUCGAUGGUAGGGUAUUGGCCUACCAUGGCGUUAACGGAUAACGAAGAAUUAAGGUUCGAUUCCGGACAGGGAACCUGACAAACGGCUACCACAUCCGAGGAAGGCACCAAGCUCAUAAAUUACCCAAUCCUGACACAGGGAGGUAGUGACAAUAAAUAACAAUGCCGGGCUUUUUUAAGUUUGGCAAUUGAAAUGAUAACAAUUUAAAUCCCUAACCAAGGAUCGAUUGGAGGGCAAAAUCUG
This 460-nucleotide ribosomal RNA is filed under the name uncultured marine picoeukaryote. Its description in RNAcentral is "bacterial SSU rRNA". It matches the Rfam family "Eukaryotic small subunit ribosomal RNA", at positions 109 to 563 of the family's 1831-position model. The record is from RNAcentral.